Molecule: long non-coding RNA, 860 nt
Filed under: Ursus americanus (American black bear)
Lineage: Eukaryota; Metazoa; Chordata; Mammalia; Carnivora; Ursidae
Description: lncRNA (ENSUAMG00000019606.1)
Source: RNAcentral
UGCGCAUGGAGAACGGCCGCGGCGGAGACUGCUCCCGAGCGCGGAGAGAGGCUGUGGGCGCCGGCAGGCGAGCGCGAGUCCGGGGUCUGCGCGGCGCUGCUGGUGAAUAAAAAGGAGAGAGGAGGCGCCUCUUACUGCUCUGCCGGAAAACUGCAGCCUGCGCUCCUGAUUGGACUCACCGAGCCCUAAACAAACAGCGCUCGCCGAAGGGUGCCAGGCUGUGGGUCGGAACUGCGCUGUGCGAGCAGCUGGGCGCUGGAGGCUAGUCCCUGAAGGCGCGCGUGAUGAAAAGGGCUUCCACCCCAGUCGCGCCCCGAGAUGCUUUCCAAGUUUUGGUGUCCCGUUUGCUCUGAGCUUAUCCUGGAGAACUUCAGCUUGUUAUCUAGGCCACCCAUGACCGACGAAAGAUCUCCCCUCCCGGCUUCUCCCAAGGCCGCUUUAAGCCAAAUAAAUUUAGCUAUUAAGGGCCAAGAUGUCUGACAAAAGAUCGAAAGGUGUCUAUCCGUGGUCGCUUAAAGAAGCGAAGGAGAAGCUGGUGGCUCUCUGAUCCCGAUAAAGACAUUCCACACGGCGCCGGCCUCCCUCCCCGCGGCCUGGUUGCGUCCUGACACCCUGAGUUCUCCGCUUCUCUGGCCAGAUCUCCACGGGCCCGGCGAGACCUGCGUCCGUUGCCCUGGGAAUGUGGCGGCCUCGAGGCGGCCGGGCCUGGAGGUGCCAGGCCCCAGGGUCCCGGGAGCCGUGGACCUCCAGGCCGGGCGGGGCUGGGCUUCCAAAACAGACCCCCUGCGCUUGGCAGAAAAACUAAACCGAGCUCAUUAGGGCCUGAAUUACUGUACCUUUUUGAUUAUUGUUCGAUGCUG